Molecule: ribosomal RNA, 771 nt
Filed under: uncultured bacterium
Lineage: Bacteria
Description: bacterial SSU rRNA
Rfam family: Bacterial small subunit ribosomal RNA
Source: RNAcentral
AGAGUUUGAUCAUGGCUCAGGACGAACGCUGGCGGCGUGCUUAACACAUGCAAGUCGAACGAUGAAGCCUUUCGGGGUGGAUUAGUGGCGAACGGGUGAGUAACACGUGGGUAACCUGCCCUUGGCUUUGGGAUAAGCCCUAGAAAUGGGGUCUAAUACCGGAUAUGACUACUUCACGCAUGUGGGGUGGUGGAAAGUUCCGGCGGCCAGGGAUGGGCCCGCGGCCUAUCAGCUUGUUGGUGGGGUAACAGCCUACCAAGGCGACGACGGGUAGCCGGCCUGAGAGGGCGACCGGCCACACUGGGACUGAGACACGGCCCAGACUCCUACGGGAGGCAGCAGUGGGGAAUAUUGCACAAUGGGCGAAAGCCUGAUGCAGCGACGCCGCGUGAGGGAUGACGGCCUUCGGGUUGUAAACCUCUUUCGACAGGGACGAAGCGCAAGUGACGGUACCUGUAGAAGAAGCACCGGCUAACUACGUGCCAGCAGCCGCGGUAAUACGUAGGGUGCGAGCGUUGUCCGGAAUUAUUGGGCGUAAAGAGCUCGUAGGCGGUUUGUCGCGUCGACUGUGAAAACUGGGGGCUUAACUCUCAGCUUGCAGUCGAUACGGGCAGACUUGAGUUCGGUAAGGGAGACUGGAAUUCCUGGUGUAGCGGUGAAAUGCGCAGAUAUCAGGAGGAACACCGGUGGCGAAGGCGGGUCUCUGGGCCGAUACUGACGCUGAGGAGCGAAAGCGUGGGGAGCGAACAGGAUUAGAUACCCUAGUAGUCC